Molecule: ribosomal RNA, 424 nt
Filed under: Verrucomicrobiota bacterium
Lineage: Bacteria; Pseudomonadati; Verrucomicrobiota
Description: Verrucomicrobia bacterium partial 16S ribosomal RNA
Rfam family: Bacterial small subunit ribosomal RNA
Source: RNAcentral
UGAGGAAUAUUGGUCAAUGGGCGAGAGCCUGAACCAGCCAAGUAGCGUGCAGGAUGACGGCCCUAUGGGUUGUAAACUGCUUUUAUAUGGGAAUAAAGUGAGGGACGUGUCCCUUAUUGCAUGUACCAUACGAAUAAGGACCGGCUAAUUCCGUGCCAGCAGCCGCGGUAAUACGGAAGGUCCAGGCGUUAUCCGGAUUUAUUGGGUUUAAAGGGAGCGUAGGCUGUUUGUUAAGCGUGUUGUGAAAUGUAGGAGCUCAACUUUUAGAUUGCAGCGCGAACUGGCAGACUUGAGUGCGCACAACGUAGGCGGAAUUCAUGGUGUAGCGGUGAAAUGCUUAGAUAUCAUGAAGAACUCCGAUUGCGAAGGCAGCUUACGGGAGUGUUACUGACGCUUAAGCUCGAAGGUGCGGGUAUCGAACAGG